ACAAACAGACAGAGUUAUCCACUGUUAUGGCCAGGGCUUUGGGACAGUCUUCAGAGAUGGAAUAGAUAUGUGUACUAUUUGGGGGCAUUUACAAGUUAGGUCAACUAUGUGAGAGGUUCAACUGUUUGUGUACAGUAGGGACUAUGUGAGAGGUUCAACGGUUUGUGUACAGUAGGGACUAUGUAAGAGGUUCAACGGUUUGUGUACAGUAGGGACUAUGUAAGAGGUUCAACGGUUUGUGUACAGUAGGGACUAUGUGAGAGGUUCAACGGUUUGUGUACAGUAGGGACUAUGUGAGAGGUUCAACGGUUUGUGUACAGUAGGGACUAUGUGAGAGGUUCAACGGUUUGUGUACAGUAGGGACUAUGUGAGAGGUUCAACGGUUUGUGUACAGUAGGGACUAUGUGAGAGGUUCAACGGUUUGUGUACAGUAGGGACUAUGUGAGAGGUUCAACGGUUUGUGUACAGUAGGGACUAUGUGAGAGGUUCAACGGUUUGUGUACAGUAGGGACUAUGUGAGAGGUUCAACGGUUUGUGUACAGUAGCGACUAUGUGAGAGGUUCAACGGUUUGUGUACAGUAGGGACUAUGUGAGAGGUUCAACGGUUUGUGUACAGUAGGGACUAUGUGAGAGGUUCAACAGUUUGUGUACAGUAGGGACUAUGUGAGAGGUUCAACAGUUUGUGUACAGUAGGGACUAUGUGAGAGGUUCAACGGUUUGUGUACAGUAGCGACUAUGUGAGAGGUUCAACGGUUUGUGUACAGUAGGGACUAUGUGAGAGGUUCAACGGUUUGUGUACAGUAGGGACUAUGUGAGAGGUUCAACGGUUUGUGUACAGUAGGGACUAUGUGAGAGGUUCAACGGUUUGUGUACAGUAGGGACUAUGUGAGAGGUUCAACGGUUUGUGUACAGUAGGGACUAUGUGAGAGGUUCAACGGUUUGUGUACAGUAGGGACUAUGUGAGAGGUUCAACGGUUUGUGUACAGUAGGGACUAUUCAGAUGCACUCUUACCCUCAUCGCCAGUGGGCUAGUGCUGUAAUCCACAGGUUGACACAAGUAACUGUAGUUAGAGAGCAUGGACGUGACCAAGAACUGCAACAUAAAAAC
Oncorhynchus keta (chum salmon) is the source of this 1108-nucleotide long non-coding RNA. RefSeq lists it as uncharacterized. The record is from RefSeq and is a predicted model, not a curated record. The transcript has 6 exons. NCBI's taxonomy places the organism in Eukaryota, Metazoa, Chordata, Actinopteri, Salmoniformes, Salmonidae.